Molecule: long non-coding RNA, 504 nt
Organism: Pseudoliparis swirei
Lineage: Eukaryota; Metazoa; Chordata; Actinopteri; Perciformes; Liparidae
Exons: 3
Source: RefSeq, a predicted model, not a curated record
GUGUGGUUCAGACACCAUUGCCUGCUGUGCUGUUCCAGUUCAAAUCCUAGGCAUGCUGGAGACAAUUACAGAGGUGAGAGACCCGUUUCCGUGUACCACAAUGGAGGAAGUGGACCUUUUUGAGCAACGGCUCAAAGAUCCCGUCAACAUUCUAAUGAGUGGUGAGUUUUUUUGUUUUAAGAAUCUCACGCAAAGCUGAUUAAAAUCUAUUGUAUGUAAUUUACACUAGACAAUACCAUGUUUGAUGGAAAUGUUUUUUCAAACAUUCUGUAAAGUAUCAAAUAUUAAUCGUACUUUUUCGAUCCAUUUUCGAUUUCCUCCCUGGCAACGAUCGGACGACAUGAUGCCAAACGUGGAACAUCCUCGAAUGAAUGGAAAAAAAUUAUUCAGUCAAAUGACAUCUAAGACUGCUCCUGCAUGCCGUCAGAAAGAAUCAUGCCACACAUGCAUCCACUGAUGAACAGAUUCUAAAGCAUGCCAUUAGGUGGUUCAACCUGGCAGCAA